UAAUAUAAUAGAAAUAAAAUAAAUUUUCAGUCGUGGUAAUUUCUAUUACAUAUUCGUUUAAUGUAAUGUGUUUUGACAUUACUAAAAUGGGAUGAAAACAUCCUUUUACGAGUCUAUUUAAUCAUACAGAAAAAAUGGCAUUGAAGAUGCAAUUAAUGAAUGGAAUUCAUUUGAUAAAUGUAUUCAAUGGAAGGAUAAUGCUUCCAAAAUAAGGAUGGUCAAAAUUUAACUCAAGAUUGUUAAAACAAGGUUGUAAUCGGAGUUUUCCGUUUUAUUGAAAAACAUAUCCCCUUAUGUCUUAUGACUAUUUUAAUUGAAUAACAUAAUUCAAAUGCCUUUUGUUGCCUUCUAUGCACAUAUGUGAACGUAAAUCUAGCGCAUCAUUUUAUAAUACAGUUAGUAGGCCGAAACAUACAAGCAUAUAACAAAGAUAAAUCAACUUCUUCGAGGAAGCAUAUUCCCUUGAUCAUGCUCAACAGUUUCUAACUUCAAUACAAGCUUUUUUUAUUCAUUUAUUUAACUAUUU
Molecule: unclassified non-coding RNA, 526 nt
Filed under: Schizosaccharomyces pombe (fission yeast)
Lineage: Eukaryota; Fungi; Ascomycota; Schizosaccharomycetes; Schizosaccharomycetales; Schizosaccharomycetaceae
Description: non-coding RNA (predicted)
Source: RNAcentral